RNAcentral lists this ribosomal RNA (497 nucleotides) under uncultured bacterium. RNAcentral describes it as "partial 16S ribosomal RNA". It matches the Rfam family "Bacterial small subunit ribosomal RNA", at positions 28 to 507 of the family's 1533-position model. The record is from RNAcentral.
GAUGAACGCUGGCGGCGUGCCUAAUACAUGCAAGUCGAGCGAACGGACGAGAAGCUUGCUUCUCUGAUGUUAGCGGCGGACGGGUGAGUAACACGUGGAUAACCUACCUAUAAGACUGGGAUAACUUCGGGAAACCGGAGCUAAUACCGGAUAAUAUUUUGAACCGCAUGGUUCAAAAGUGAAAGACGGUCUUGCUGUCACUUAUAGAUGGAUCCGCGCUGCAUUAGCUAGUUGGUAAGGUAACGGCUUACCAAGGCAACGAUGCAUAGCCGACCUGAGAGGGUGAUCGGCCACACUGGAACUUAGACACGGUCCAGACUCCUACGGGAGGCAGCAGUAGGGAAUCUUCCGCAAUGGGCGAAAGCCUGUCGGAGCAACGCCGCGUGAGUGAUGAAGGUCUUCGGAUCGUAAAACUCUGUUAUUAGGGAAGAACAUAUGUGUAAGUAACUGUGCACAUCUUGACGGUACCUAAUCAGAAAGCCACGGCUAACUACGUG